AGGUGGUGCGGCCGCUGCGGACCUUCCUGCACACCGUGCAGCGGAACCAGAUGCUCAUGGCGCCCGGCUCCGCCCCCCGCCGCGCCGGCAUGACAUCCUUCAUCAAGCGCAACACCCCGCUGCGCGUGGACCCCAAGUGCAGCUUCGUUGUGAGUAGAGCCCUCCCUCCCUGCACUUGCUGUGGCCCUAGGAGCACUAGCGUCUCGGCCAGGAGCUUGUGGGGUGUGGGCACCACUGAGGCACCCAAGGGUGUGACUGGCUGCCCACCAGGCCACGGGCCCCGGGUUCUCUCCCAGCUCAGCAGCUGUCCCUAGUCUCGGCUCCUGGGGCUCGUGAGUCUCAGCAGGGCCAGGCAGACAGGCGUGGGGGCUAAGUGGGCAGUGCCACCGGUUCCCUGUGCCUUCCUCACGUGUGUGCAUGCGGUCACCUGACAGAUGGCACCAGUCUGGCUGCCCCAGUAACACACAGCGUGGGCACUUUGGGAACUAAAGUGGAAACUCUGUUCAUCCACUGUCUACUGUCUGUCGCCUCUGGUGCCCUCCCUCCGCCACCAAAGGACUUCUGCUCCAGGUGGAGGGUUCUCUAGUUUCCUUCACCUGAGAGUGCUGCCUCCUCCUUUCUUCUGGAGGAAAACUGCCAGGUGAAGUUUCUCUUUCGGCACAGUGCAGUUUCCUGCUGGGGAGACGUCUUCAUCCAUUCUGAGUGUCGUCCCCUGUACAGAAGGCAGCCUUCAUUCUGGCUGCUGCUGGCGUUUCCCCCCUUUGUGUUGCGUUUUCAGUGUCGAUUUCUUGGGACUCCCCUCCGGUUGUGUCUGUCCCUGAAUUUGGCAUUCUCAGCCAUCUUGUCCUCGACUAUCUAAGCAUCUUCUUCCUCUCCUUUCGAGGCGCCAGUGGAAGAGCAGAGACCUUUUGGUGUUGUCGCCCUGAUCCCAGAGGCGCUGAUAACUUGAUGUCUUGAUAGCAGCCAUUCUUUGUGGGAUGAGGUGGAAUCUCAAUGUUUUCAUCUGCAUCUCUUGAAUGACCAGUGAUGCUGAACAUUUUUUCAUAUGUUUAUUUGCUGCUUUUACUUCUUUGUCUGAGAAUUGUCUGUUCAUUUCAGAUGCCCAUUUUUGAAUUGGGUCUUUGAAUUUGGGGGAUCUGAUUUUUUUGAGUUCUUCAUAUAUUCUAGAUAGUAGACCUUUGUCUGAGGUACAGCUGCUAAAGAUUUUUUCCCAGAUUGUAGGUUGUCUCUUAGCUCUGUUGGUGGUUUCUCUUGCAGUGCAGAAGCUUUUUAAUAAGAUGAGAUCCCAGCUGUUGAUUCUUCCUUAGCAGUUUCUUCUCCGUGCUGAGCUCACUCAUUGAUCUUCGUGGUGACUACGUUCAUGGUCUUUUCCAUUGUGCUCCUGUGCCUAUCCGUUGAGUCGUAACAUUUGUUUUUUCUAAGGUUCCUGUCUGGUUCUCUAUGUCUGUUCCUUUGCUGAGAGUUCCCCGUGUUUCCAAGUGUCUCUGGCAUAUACGUGAGGACUCAUUGGAGCUUUUCCAUAAUAGCUGCUCUGAAGUCCCAGAUAAUUCUAGCAACAGCCGCCCUCACUCUGUUGAUUGUCUUCCCUUGCAAGUUGGGGUUUUCGGUUCUUUGGAGACUCAGUGAUUGGGGACUCCUGCAUGAUGCCGCUACAGCAGCUGUGCUGAGACUGGCCUGGCGUUGUCUAGCUGAGGGUCGGUGUGCUCCCCAUCCACUUGGCGAGGCUGCAGGUUCCCCUGCUGUCUGUGGCCCCAGGGUCGGUCCCUUGGCAGGGCAUGAGGCUCUGUCCCUGUGGGUGCCACCAGCGGCCAGGUGGGCCUGAAGGCGGCCUGUGGAACUCGUGCGGAACCCUGGCAGGCUCUUGUGACCACCCCAGGGCUUUCCGUUCCCUGGGGCUCCUCUUUCUCUGGCCUCCCACUGGGGAGAUGGGGGUGUUAGUUACCUGGCUCUGUCCUGUGCUUUGCUGCGCAUGUCCAAGCUCCUGACCAGAGGAAAGGAGCAGGAGAGGAGAGCAGAGAGGAGCAGCAUGCAGCUGUUCUGGAGGAUUGUCGAGCGCGCCCGUCUCCUUGGCUGGGGAGGGCUUGGGGCCUGGCCGCCUGUCGCUGCUGCUGCCGCUUGGGCCGUGCUCUGCAGAGGGCCGGGCAGCUCCACUGUGCCACACACACGUUGCCUUGCGUUUAUUGUGGCCGUGUCACAGGCAGUGUGGAAAACAAGGAAAGACCACAGUCCUUCAUCUGUCUCCCAGCCUGUAUACCCUUCUUCAGCAUCCGGGUGUUUUCUUUCUUUCAACUGUUGCGAAACAGCUGAGGCACAUGGAGGAGCAGGCGACACGGGCAGGCAGCAUGCGGGUGGUGAAGCACAAUUGUGUGGGCAGCACAGCUGCAGCCCCGCCCCUCAGCCCCACUGCACUGCUCACUGCUCUUGGCGCACUGCUGAUGCGGCCACACUGUCUUAGCUGGUUUGGGCCUGCUUUGGUUGGCAGCUUGAGCCUCUGGCCCUGGGCUGUGCAUCCUGCCGGGAGCCAACCCUCGGGUUUGGGUGCGUCCCUGCCCUGAGCGUGGAGCUCGAGUACCUGCCACUGGCCUGGAGGUCAGGGUUUGUCCCCCGCCCCCCAUCCCAGGAGAAGGAGAGGCAGCGCCUGGAGAGCCUGCGGCGGAAGGAGGAGGCUGAGCAGCUGCGCAGACAGAAGGUGGAGGAGGAGGAGGCGGAGGCGGCGCGAGGAGGAGAAGCUGAAGCGGGAGGAGGCGCCACCGCAAGGUGCUGCAGGCGCGGGAGCGGGUGGAGCAGCUGAAGGAGGAGAAGAAGAAGCAGAUGGAGCAGAGACUGGGCGCAGCUGGAGGAGAAGACAGAGAAGGCCAAGGAGGAGCGGCAGGCAGAGGAGAAGGCCAAGCAAAAGGCCGAGGCACGCAGGAGGCAGGAGGCGGAGGCACGCAGGAGGCAGGAGGAGGAGGCGCGUGGGCUCCGGAGGCUGCGGCAGGAGGAGGAAGAGCGACGCCACCAGGAGCUGCUGCAGAAGAGGAAGGAGGGAGGAGCAGGAGCGGCCCGCAAGGCAGCUGAGGCUCGGCGCCUGGCGGGCAGCAGGAGCAGGAGCGGCGGCGGGAGCAGGAGCGGCUCCAGGCUGACAGGGAGCUGCAGGAGCGGGAGAAGGCCCUGCAGCUGCACCGGAACUGGAGAAGAGGUAGGGCUUCGCCUGGCUGGGAGCAGGGAGCCGAGGAACCGCUGGCCAGCCCGCCUUGCCCUCGGGGUGGGGCCAAGGGGAGGGCUCACAGUGCCCAUUGCCACCUGAGGCCCAGGAGGAGCAGCAGCGCGCCUGGCUGAGCAGCGGCUACAGGAGGAGCAGGAGCAGAAAGCCAGGGGAGGCAGCAGCAGCUAGCAAAGCCCUGAAUGUGACGGUGGAGUCCCCAGCCUGUACCUCCUAUCAGAUGACCCCUCAAGGGCACAGGCGCCCCCCCCAAGAUCAACCCCGACAACUACUGUAACUACGGGAUGGACCUGAACAGCGAUGACUCCACCGAUGAUGAGGCCCAGCCCCGCAAGCCCAUCCCGGCCUGGGCCCGAGGCACCCAGCUCAGCCAGGCCAUUGUCCACCAGUACUACCACCCCCGAGCCUCGCCGGGCGCUCGGGACCAUCGCCCCCCUGGACCUGGAGGACAUCUUCAAGAAAAGCAAGCCCCGCUACCACAAGCGCACCAGCUCGGCUGUCUGGAACUCACCGCCCCUGCAGGGCAUCCGGCUCCCUGGCAGCCUGGCCUGCAGCCUGAAGAAGUACUGAGGCCUCGGGCCUGCUGAGGCUCAGUGCCAUCCGAGGCUGUCCUUGCCCAUGCCGUGCUGCAGGCAGGAGGUGGCCGCAGCCACUUGGAGGGGCGGUGCCAUGGGUGGCGGGGAAGGGCAGGUGUGCCCCAGCCGGCCUCAGGCAGCACUCUGUAAAUAGGUGUUACAGUCAGUCCAGCUGAAUUUUAGCGUCUAGUGUUUGAGGUAGAUGAAUAAAGUGUAUUCCUUUGAGCCUGCUGUGGGUAUCGUGCAGGUGUGUGGCGGCUUGGGGUCCCGAUCCUGGCC
RNAcentral lists this long non-coding RNA (4056 nucleotides) under Heterocephalus glaber (naked mole-rat). RNAcentral's name for it is "lncRNA (ENSHGLG00000032887.1)". Lineage: Eukaryota; Metazoa; Chordata; Mammalia; Rodentia; Bathyergidae. The record is from RNAcentral.